This 87-nucleotide transfer RNA is filed under the name Desulfovibrio sp. Its description in RNAcentral is "tRNA-Leu". It matches the Rfam family "tRNA". From Rfam's summary of the family: Transfer RNA (tRNA) molecules are approximately 80 nucleotides in length. Their secondary structure includes four short double-helical elements and three loops (D, anti-codon, and T loops). Further hydrogen bonds mediate the characteristic L-shaped molecular structure. tRNAs have two regions of fundamental functional importance: the anti-codon, which is responsible for specific mRNA codon recognition, and the 3' end, to which the tRNAs corresponding amino acid is attached (by aminoacyl-tRNA synthetases). tRNAs cope with the degeneracy of the genetic code in two manners: having more than one tRNA (with a specific anti-codon) for a particular amino acid; and 'wobble' base-pairing, i.e. permitting non-standard base-pairing at the 3rd anti-codon position. The record is from RNAcentral. Lineage: Bacteria; Pseudomonadati; Thermodesulfobacteriota; Desulfovibrionia; Desulfovibrionales; Desulfovibrionaceae.
GCGAGAGUGGCGGAACUGGCAGACGCACCGGAUUUAGGAUCCGACGGUUUUUAUGCCGUGGGGGUUCAAUUCCCCCCUCUCGCACCA